CAAUGGCCGUUCACACCCCUUCUCUCCGUCCACAGCAACGGCUCACAAACCCUGGAGGAGGGGAACACAGAGAGUCAACAAGCUGGCAAACUGGACAUUACUAACGCGUGAACAUUACUGAAGAUGCAGGUUCAU
This is a long non-coding RNA of Amblyraja radiata (thorny skate), 135 nucleotides long. RefSeq lists it as uncharacterized. The transcript has 3 exons. NCBI's taxonomy places the organism in Eukaryota, Metazoa, Chordata, Chondrichthyes, Rajiformes, Rajidae. The record is from RefSeq and is a predicted model, not a curated record.